This 2836-nucleotide long non-coding RNA is filed under the name Triticum aestivum (bread wheat). RNAcentral describes it as "long non-coding RNA (TAES_LNC016214)". The record is from RNAcentral. Lineage: Eukaryota; Viridiplantae; Streptophyta; Magnoliopsida; Poales; Poaceae.
UGCAAUAAUUGAGAUAACAAUGAAUGGAAAUGAUUGUCCAAGUGGAUGCAUAUCAUAUGAGUAACUCCAGGAAAUGACUAAAUAGCUCUACUGUCUUAUGCUUAGCAUAAAUAAACUAUAAUGCAUUAUCGCUGUAAGGAAGAUGUAUUGACAUGAUGUUGCAUGUUAUGAACGGACAUCUUCCUCUGCCCCAUUUAUUCUUUCUUAUUUACUAAAUAUUCCACUUCAUAUUGGGUACUAAUUGCAUAAGAAAUCUUAUUUUGCAUACUACAUCCAGUAAUUAAGUGUUUCUAGGUAACUUAUAUUUGGAAUUCUUUUGUUACAGGUCCACAUUUGGGACAGAAAACAUGAUAUAACGUCACAUGAAAGAUGAAACUUGUUUACUGCCUUUUCAUCCGCAGGUGGAUAAUAUGCCUUCCAAUGAAGGAUCCAAUGAUUAGUUAUGAGUCCCUCAUUGCAAACAAAUAUCUAGAAUGACAGUGAAUGUUAGAUCGAGAUAAAAUUCAGUACAAUUAGUUGACAGACACAGACAAGGGCUUCACUCCUAUGAAGAUCUUUGUGGUAUGAUUAUAAUGCUAUCAUGCAAUAUUUUUGUUUUGAGAUUUGGUUCAAAUACUUAAAAAUCAUCUAUUUGAUAUUGUUCUACUCUACUUAUUUGCGGUUCAGUGAUCUGGGAGUUUUUGACCGUCAGAUCUCGUGUAAAAACCGUUCUGUCACGCAUUGUGUGUAAUCUGGCUGCUCCAGGGGCCGAAACAAAGACAUCUGCUGCAUUGGGCCGUCCGCGAGCGGCCAGCCCAUUUACCAUCACUGUUCACCCCCUCCCCUUCUUCAACCUCGUCAUGCCCACGAUCUCGCGUCCUGCAAAUCGUUAGGCGUGCCCGCCGCUAGUGCCACCCUCCGGCCAACUCGGUCGCUGUGGAGAUAAGGAAGACGCCGUCGCAAGUUCAACGUCGUGCCAACCCACCCCAUCCCGAGCCGAGGUAUGCCCCAUUUUCACCCGGAGAAAGAGAGGGAGGACAGGAUCUUGCCGCUAUCGUGCUGGACCCAGCCGUCGCCGCGUCUAGGUCGAGGUCGCCCGGAUGCGCUUGGCUCGGGGUCCCCUCGCUCGAUCCGGCGGCCACUGCUCGCCACUGGGUUGGGGCGCCGCGCUCGGGGGAGGGCUCGCUGGAGAUGCGCGACGGCCCUGGACGCUACCAUGCAGCACCGGAGACGGGUGACGGCCGUGGUGGAGGCUUCGGGGGUUCCCGGACUGAGGAAAAGAAAGAGGUGGAUGGACGGAGGGAGAUGGCGUGGGCUAGCUAGGAUGAGGAUUUGGGGACGCCGGUGCUCCCACUCGAGGAAAAGGGCUGGGGAGAACAGCAAAACGCCGGUGGCCCGGUGGCCAGGUGGAUUGGACGGGUGAGAGAGCUGGGAUGGGUUGCCUGGCUGUGGUUCUAUUGAACUGAAUUAAUAUGUUCAGUGCUACUAAAUAUUUUAAGUGCUACUAAAUAUUUUGAGUGCUACUGAACUGAACUUGUGAAUUAUUCAAAUGGGAUUUACAUAGAUCUCCUACUGAAUAUGUUCAAUGCAAGAGUAAAAAAGAGAGAAUAUUUUCCUCAAUUUUAGACAUUUUCUCAUAAUUAAACGUACAUUAAUAGAGGUUUUUCUUGAUCAUAAUUUUCUGAGUUGUCGGAAUGUUAUGUGUUUACUUAUUUUCCAUUUGUCUGAUCAGACAGAAAUUAAAUUGUUUCUUUCUCCCACAAACAGAGACUAUGCAUGUGAGUUCACUUAUCUUGGUUUGCAUAUGGAUGAACUAAUAGGUGAUGAAGUGGAUUUGUAUUUCUGGUUAUAUGCUUCUAGAGAAGGUUGUGUAUGUGAACAAGGAGAAAACUUUUGAAUCAUCUACUUGACAGGUCGCAAAGUUAUCACAGAUGCAAUAUAUUGAUGUUAUAAGUUCGAAGUCAAGCAGGUAUUUUAUUUCUAACUUAAUAAAUCAUUCAGUAUUAUAAAUCAAUAAUGUUCUUUCUAUAUCAUCUUUCAAUUUCAGAGUGGUGCUAAGGACCUAAGGUACCAACUGAAUGUACGAGCAAAAACAUAAUUCAUAUGCAAGUACAGGAUGCUGGAUUCUUUAAUUGUGAGUGCAAACUUUUUUUCAAUAUUUCAGUUGACCACUAGGUAGUAUUUUUGACAUCCUUUUUGUUCUCACCCUUUCCUACUUUCCUUCAUUUUUGUUCCCCUGUUCUGUAGAGUAAGAAAUGAAAAGAAAACCAAUAUCUAUUUUUCUGACAGUAAAAAAGCAAACCUGUGACUAUAUAUGCUGGAAUCAACAAAUAAUAUAUUUGUAUUGCACAAUAUAGUACAUUCUAUCAACAUCUUAAGUUUAUGUUGUCGUAUAUAUCACCAUGACACCAUCUGGAAGAUUAUCUUUCUCUAAAUCAUGUGGUCCAUUUUCAGGUAUGAGUACCAAAUUAAAGCAAAUGGAUUACAUAGGAGAAAACACCAUGUCUGUUUCAUUAAACACUAUCCCACAUUGUGUGUAAUACAGAAACAAUGAAUGAUGAUCUCCAGGCAGAUAAAUUCAGAUUGUUUAUCCCUCUCCAGUCAUGCAAUAUGGUGUUUCUUUUACUUAUUGUAUCCGUCGGUUUAUUUAUGAAAUUGUAAUGCACAUAUUGUGGAAUAGAUACUGAACUCCGCUUUCGUAGAGAUCAUAGUGAGCUUCACCUUUUAUUCCUGAGAUUUUAUUAUGGUUAUGUAGGUGUUGCCUUCCAAGGUUGUAAAUAUAAACUACCAUGCCGUAAACAUAGGGCUAAAGCCGCACUUAUAAGUAACGUAAUACUCAGGUUGAGCAGCCCUUGGG